GUAAACCGAUCGAGUGUACCAAAU
RNAcentral lists this non-coding RNA (24 nucleotides) under Arabidopsis thaliana (thale cress). The record is from RNAcentral. Lineage: Eukaryota; Viridiplantae; Streptophyta; Magnoliopsida; Brassicales; Brassicaceae.